AGCGUACACGGUGGAUGCCCUGGCAGUCAGAGGCGAUGAAGGACGUGCUAAUCUGCGAUAAGCGCCGGUAAGGUGAUAUGAACCGUUAUAACCGGCGAUUUCCGAAUGGGGAAACCCAGUGUGAUUCGUCACACUAUCAUUAACUGAAUCCAUAGGUUAAUGAGGCGAACCGGGGGAACUGAAACAUCUAAGUACCCCGAGGAAAAGAAAUCAACCGAGAUUCCCCCAGUAGCGGCGAGCGAACGGGGAGGAGCCCAGAGCCUGAAUCAGCAUGUGUGUUAGUGGAAGCGUCUGGAAAGGCGCGCGAUACAGGGUGACAGCCCCGUACACAAAAGCGCAUGUGCUGUGAGCUCGAUGAGUAGGGCGGGACACGUGGUAUCCUGUCUGAAUAUGGGGGGACCAUCCUCCAAGGCUAAAUACUCCUGACUGACCGAUAGUGAACCAGUACCGUGAGGGAAAGGCGAAAAGAACCCCGGCGAGGGGAGUGAAAAAGAACCUGAAACCGUGUACGUACAAGCAGUGGGAGCACAGGUUUACCUGUGUGACUGCGUACCUUUUGUAUAAUGGGUCAGCGACUUAUAUUCUGUAGCAAGGUUAACCGAAUAGGGGAGCCGGAGGGAAACCGAGUCUUAAUUGGGCGUUAAGUUGCAGGGUAUAGACCCGAAACCCGGUGAUCUAGCCAUGGGCAGGUUGAAGGUUGGGUAACACUAACUGGAGGACCGAACCGACUAAUGUUGAAAAAUUAGCGGAUGACCUGUGGCUGGGGGUGAAAGGCCAAUCAAACCGGGAGAUAGCUGGUUCUCCCCGAAAGCUAUUUAGGUAGCGCCUCGUGAAUUCAUCUCCGGGGGUAGAGCACUGUUUCGGCUAGGGGGCCAUCCCGGCUUACCAACCCGAUGCAAACUGCGAAUACCGGAGAAUGUUAUCACGGGAGACACACGGCGGGUGCUAACGUCCGUCGUGAAGAGGGAAACAACCCAGACCGCCAGCUAAGGUCCCAAAGUCAUGGUUAAGUGGGAAACGAUGUGGGAAGGCCCAGACAGCCAGGAUGUUGGCUUAGAAGCAGCCAUCAUUUAAAGAAAGCGUAAUAGCUCACUGGUCGAGUCGGCCUGCGCGGAAGAUGUAACGGGGCUAAACCAUGCACCGAAGCUGCGGCAGCGACGCUGAUGCGUUGUUGGGUAGGGGAGCGUUCUGUAAGCCUGUGAAGGUGGCCUGUGAGGGUUGCUGGAGGUAUCAGAAGUGCGAAUGCUGACAUAAGUAACGAUAAAGCGGGUGAAAAGCCCGCUCGCCGGAAGACCAAGGGUUCCUGUCCAACGUUAAUCGGGGCAGGGUGAGUCGACCCCUAAGGCGAGGCCGAAAGGCGUAGUCGAUGGGAAACGGGUUAAUAUUCCCGUACUUGGUGUUACUGCGAAGGGGGGACGGAGAAGGCUAUGUUGGCCGGGCGACGGUUGUCCCGGUUUAAGCGUGUAGGUGUGUGUUCCAGGUAAAUCCGGUUCACUUUAACACUGAGGCGUGACGACGAGGCACUACGGUGCUGAAGCAACAAAUGCCCUGCUUCCAGGAAAAGCCUCUAAGCAUCAGGUAACAUCAAAUCGUACCCCAAACCGACACAGGUGGUCAGGUAGAGAAUACCAAGGCGCUUGAGAGAACUCGGGUGAAGGAACUAGGCAAAAUGGUGCCGUAACUUCGGGAGAAGGCACGCUGACACGUAGGUGAAGUGAUUUACUCAUGGAGCUGAAGUCAGUCGAAGAUACCAGCUGGCUGCAACUGUUUAUUAAAAACACAGCACUGUGCAAACACGAAAGUGGACGUAUACGGUGUGACGCCUGCCCGGUGCCGGAAGGUUAAUUGAUGGGGUCAGCGCAAGCGAAGCUCCUGAUCGAAGCCCCGGUAAACGGCGGCCGUAACUAUAACGGUCCUAAGGUAGCGAAAUUCCUUGUCGGGUAAGUUCCGACCUGCACGAAUGGCGUAAUGAUGGCCAGGCUGUCUCCACCCGAGACUCAGUGAAAUUGAACUCGCUGUGAAGAUGCAGUGUACCCGCGGCAAGACGGAAAGACCCCGUGAACCUUUACUAUAGCUUGACACUGAACAUUGAGCCUUGAUGUGUAGGAUAGGUGGGAGGCUUUGAAGCGUGGACGCCAGUCUGCGUGGAGCCGACCUUGAAAUACCACCCUUUAAUGUUUGAUGUUCUAACGUGGACCCGUAAUCCGGGUUGCGGACAGUGUCUGGUGGGUAGUUUGACUGGGGCGGUCUCCUCCUAAAGAGUAACGGAGGAGCACGAAGGUUGGCUAAUCCUGGUCGGACAUCAGGAGGUUAGUGCAAUGGCAUAAGCCAGCUUGACUGCGAGCGUGACGGCGCGAGCAGGUGCGAAAGCAGGUCAUAGUGAUCCGGUGGUUCUGAAUGGAAGGGCCAUCGCUCAACGGAUAAAAGGUACUCCGGGGAUAACAGGCUGAUACCGCCCAAGAGUUCAUAUCGACGGCGGUGUUUGGCACCUCGAUGUCGGCUCAUCACAUCCUGGGGCUGAAGUAGGUCCCAAGGGUAUGGCUGUUCGCCAUUUAAAGUGGUACGCGAGCUGGGUUUAGAACGUCGUGAGACAGUUCGGUCCCUAUCUGCCGUGGGCGCUGGAGAACUGAGGGGGGCUGCUCCUAGUACGAGAGGACCGGAGUGGACGCAUCACUGGUGUUCGGGUUGUCAUGCCAAUGGCACUGCCCGGUAGCUAAAUGCGGAAGAGAUAAGUGCUGAAAGCAUCUAAGCACGAAACUUGCCCCGAGAUGAGUUCU
Molecule: ribosomal RNA, 2777 nt
Filed under: Salmonella enterica
Lineage: Bacteria; Pseudomonadati; Pseudomonadota; Gammaproteobacteria; Enterobacterales; Enterobacteriaceae
Description: bacterial LSU rRNA
Rfam family: Bacterial large subunit ribosomal RNA
Source: RNAcentral